This 427-nucleotide ribosomal RNA is filed under the name uncultured archaeon. Its description in RNAcentral is "bacterial SSU rRNA". It matches the Rfam family "Archaeal small subunit ribosomal RNA", at positions 574 to 997 of the family's 1478-position model. The record is from RNAcentral.
CGGGGGAGUACUGCCAGACUUGGAACCGGGAGAGGUAAGAGGUACUACAGGGGUAGGAGUGAAAUCUUGUAAUCCCUGUGGGACCACCUGUGGCGAAGGCGUCUUACCAGAACGGGUUCGACGGUGAGGGACGAAAGGCUGGGGGGCACGAACCGGAUUAGAUACCCGGGUAGUCCCAGCCGUAAACGAUGCUCGCUAGGUGUCAGGCAUGGCGCGACCGUGUCUGGUGCCGCAGGGAAGCCGUGAAGCGAGCCACCUGGGAAGUACGGCCGCAAGGCUGAAACUUAAAGGAAUUGGCGGGGGAGCACAACAACGGGUGGAGCCCUGCGGUUUAAUUGGACUCAACGCCGGACAACUCACCGGGGGCGACAGCAAUAUGUAGGCCAAGCUGAAGACUUUGCCUGAAUCGCUGAGAAGUGGUGCAUGG